UAUCGGUUUGGGUUUAGAAAGUAC
Molecule: non-coding RNA, 24 nt
Filed under: Arabidopsis thaliana (thale cress)
Lineage: Eukaryota; Viridiplantae; Streptophyta; Magnoliopsida; Brassicales; Brassicaceae
Source: RNAcentral